This 468-nucleotide ribosomal RNA is filed under the name uncultured bacterium. Its description in RNAcentral is "partial 16S ribosomal RNA". It matches the Rfam family "Bacterial small subunit ribosomal RNA", at positions 28 to 507 of the family's 1533-position model. The record is from RNAcentral.
GACGAACGCUGGCGGCGUGCUUAACACAUGCCAGUCGAACGGAAAGGCCCUGCUUUUGUGGGGUGCUCGAGUGGCGAACGGGUGAGUAACACGUGAGUAACCUGCCCUUGACUUUGGGAUAACUUCAGGAAACUGGGGCUAAUACCGGAUAGGAGCUCCUGCUGCAUGGUGGGGGUUGGAAAGUUUCGGCGGUUGGGGAUGGACUCGCGGCUUAUCAGCUUGUUGGUGGGGUAGUGGCUUACCAAGGCUUUGACGGGUAGCCGGCCUGAGAGGGUGACCGGCCACAUUGGGACUGAGAUACGGCCCAGACUCCUACGGGAGGCAGCAGUGGGGAAUAUUGCACAAUGGGCGGAAGCCUGAUGCAGCAACGCCGCGUGGGGGAUGACGGCCUUCGGGUUGUAAACCGCUUUCGCCUGUGACGAAGCGUGAGUGACGGUAAUGGGUAAAGAAGCACCGGCUAACUACGUG